RNAcentral lists this ribosomal RNA (275 nucleotides) under uncultured bacterium. RNAcentral's name for it is "partial 16S ribosomal RNA". It matches the Rfam family "Bacterial small subunit ribosomal RNA", at positions 79 to 353 of the family's 1533-position model. The record is from RNAcentral.
CUAAGUUUGAUGGCGACCGGCGCACGGGUGAGUAACACGUAUCCAACCUGCCGAUGACUCGGGGAUAGCCUUUCGAAAGAAAGAUUAAUACCCGAUGGCAUAGUUCUUCCGCAUGGUGGAGCUAUUAAAGAAUUUCGGUCAUCGAUGGGGAUGCGUUCCAUUAGGUUGUUGGCGGGGUAACGGCCCACCAAGCCUUCGAUGGAUAGGGGUUCUGAGAGGAAGGUCCCCCACAUUGGAACUGAGACACGGUCCAAACUCCUACGGGAGGCAGCAUG